UUAAUAUUACACGGUAUUUAAAAGAAAAUUCCUUUUUCUUACCUUUUUCCCUUCUCUACUUCUACUACGACUUCGUGCUCACGCUCUCUCCGAUCGUUUUGAAUAUCGUUCCUUACCACGUCUGAAACUUGCAAAACCCAGGAUUUUAUAUUUACUUCUAGGAUCUCCGGCUCGGUCAGUUACUGUUUGAUUGUCCUCCUUCGCGUGACGUAUUUACGGAUGACAACUUCGUUGAGCUCAAGAAUCCAGGUUUUGCUGAUCUCUACAACUUCUGUUUAUGUACCGUUUUCGUCCUUACACUGGUGUUCGUUCGAUCCUCCAAAGGCUUUCCGUGUGUUCAACUGCCUGCGAACUUUCUGGAAGUUCGGCAACUUCUAAACCUUCUGGACAUUAAUUCAACCACCCCACUAUUACAGUAUACGGAACAACUUGUACAUCUGAACGAGACGGGUAAAACCAACACACCGUG
RNAcentral lists this ribosomal RNA (469 nucleotides) under Triticum aestivum (bread wheat). Its description in RNAcentral is "partial small subunit ribosomal RNA". Lineage: Eukaryota; Viridiplantae; Streptophyta; Magnoliopsida; Poales; Poaceae. The record is from RNAcentral.